AUGUAGCACGCGAGCGCUGCAAUCCCUGCGUGCCGGCCGCACCCACCUGACGACUGCUCGCUACCUUUUGUCAGCU
Molecule: small RNA, 76 nt
Filed under: Xanthomonas oryzae
Lineage: Bacteria; Pseudomonadati; Pseudomonadota; Gammaproteobacteria; Lysobacterales; Lysobacteraceae
Also listed under: 1 other name
Description: sX9 sRNA
Rfam family: Xanthomonas sRNA sX9
Source: RNAcentral